Molecule: ribosomal RNA, 253 nt
Filed under: uncultured bacterium
Lineage: Bacteria
Description: partial 16S ribosomal RNA
Rfam family: Bacterial small subunit ribosomal RNA
Source: RNAcentral
UACGUAGGGUGCAAGCGUUAAUCGGAAUUACUGGGCGUAAAGGGCUCGUAGGCGGCCAACUAAGUCAUACGUGAAAUCCCUCAGCUUAACUGGGGAACUGCGUGUGAUACUGGAUGGCUUGGAUUUGGGAGAGGGAUGCGGAAUUCCAGGUGUAGCGGUGAAAUGCGUAGAUAUCUGGAGGAACACCGGUGGCGAAGGCGGCAUCCUGGACCAAUAUUGACGCUGAGGAGCGAAAGCCAGGGGAGCAAACGGG